RNAcentral lists this ribosomal RNA (402 nucleotides) under Lyctocoris beneficus. RNAcentral's name for it is "partial 16S ribosomal RNA". Lineage: Eukaryota; Metazoa; Arthropoda; Insecta; Hemiptera; Lyctocoridae. The record is from RNAcentral.
GCCGCAGUAUCUUAACUGUGCAAAGGUAGCAUAAUCAUUUGUUCUUUAAUUGUGAACUAGUAUGAAGGGUUUGAUGAAGAAUAUUCUUUCUUUAUUUAAUUUUGUGAAUUUUAUUUUUAAGUUAAAAAGCUUAGAUUUUUUUAUUAGACGAUAAGACCCUAUAGAACUUUAUUUAUUUUUAUUUGUUAUAUUUUUAGUUUUUGUUUUUAUAAUAUUUAUUUGUUAAUUUUGUUGGGGUGACAUUUAAAUUUUUAUAACUUUAUUUUUUAGGUUUUCAUUUAUUAUUGUAUUUUUGAUCCAGUUUUAUUGAUUAUUAGAUUAAGUUACCUUAGGGAUAACAGCGUUAUUUUAUUGGAGAGCUCUUAUCGAUAAUAAAGUUUGCGACCUCGAUGUUGGAUUAAA